GAUCACAGAAACACAGACCAGUGUCUCCAGUGCCCAGCUCUGUGUCCAUGAAGAGUGACCAGUCCAUGGAUCAGCCUCCCAAACUCAGCAGUGGACCGCCCCAAUCAGAUAUGAAAUCACAGAAACACAGACCAGUGUCUCCAGUGCCCAGCUGUGUGUCUAUGAAGAGUGACCAGUCCAUGGAUCAGCCUCCCAAACUCAGCAGUGGACCGCCCCAAUCAGAUAUAAAUGUUGGGAGGAUUCAUUUAACUGAGCCUGCUCCAGUCAACAGGGCUGAAUUAACAGGUACAUACAGUAUAUGGAAGUCUUCACAUAUUUAUUUCAGAACAAUUGUUCCCAAAGGACU
Molecule: long non-coding RNA, 346 nt
Organism: Sardina pilchardus (European sardine)
Lineage: Eukaryota; Metazoa; Chordata; Actinopteri; Clupeiformes; Clupeidae
Exons: 3
Source: RefSeq, a predicted model, not a curated record